RNAcentral lists this ribosomal RNA (40 nucleotides) under Cortinarius politus. RNAcentral describes it as "partial 28S ribosomal RNA". Lineage: Eukaryota; Fungi; Basidiomycota; Agaricomycetes; Agaricales; Cortinariaceae. The record is from RNAcentral. RNAcentral also lists the same sequence under 2 other names.
UGUGACCUCAAAUCAGGUAGGACUACCCGCUGAACUUAAG